RNAcentral lists this transfer RNA (73 nucleotides) under Thermoplasmatota archaeon. RNAcentral's name for it is "Candidatus Thermoplasmatota archaeon (groundwater metagenome) tRNA-Gly". It matches the Rfam family "tRNA". From Rfam's summary of the family: Transfer RNA (tRNA) molecules are approximately 80 nucleotides in length. Their secondary structure includes four short double-helical elements and three loops (D, anti-codon, and T loops). Lineage: Archaea; Methanobacteriati; Thermoplasmatota. The record is from RNAcentral.
GCGUCUGUAGUCUAGUCUGGUAGGACUUGAGCUUCCCAAGCUCAUAGCCCGGGUUCAAAUCCCGGCAGGCGCA